GGAUGAAGAACGUAGCGAAAUGCGAUAAGUAAUGUGAAUUGCAGAAUUCAGUGAAUCAUCGAAUCUUUGAACGCACAUUGCGCCCUCUGGUAUUCCGGGGGGCAUGCCUGUUCGAGCGUCAUUAUAACCACUCAAGCUCUCGCUUGGUAUUGGGGUUCGCGGUUCCGCGGCCCCUAAAAUCAGUGGCGGUGCCUGUCGGCUCUACGCGUAGUAAUACUCCUCGCGAUUGAGUCCGGUAGGUCUACUUGCCAGCAACCCCCAAUUUUUACAGGUUGACCUCGGAUCAGGUAGGGAUACCCGCUGAACUUAAGCAUAUCAAUAAGCGGAGGA
RNAcentral lists this unclassified non-coding RNA (330 nucleotides) under soil metagenome. Its description in RNAcentral is "partial contains 5.8S ribosomal RNA, internal transcribed spacer 2, and large subunit ribosomal RNA". The stretch from base 2 to 121 matches the Rfam family "5.8S ribosomal RNA", at positions 35 to 154 of the family's 154-position model. The record is from RNAcentral.